UGAGUACGAGAUGCUACGGCAUCGAAGCAGUCUAUGUCAUACUUCCAAGAAAAGCUUGCACUGUCAUAAACAAAGAAUGCCUGUACCAUAACCGACACAGGUGGGUAGGUAGAGUAUACUAAGGGGCGCGAGAUAACUCUCUCUAAGGAACUCGGCAAAAUGACUCCGUAACUUCGGGAGAAGGAGUGCCUUAUUUCUAAGGUUGCAAUAACAAGAUCCAAGCAACUGUUUACCAAAAACACAGGUCUCCGCUAAGUCGUAAGACGAUGUAUGGGGGCUGACGCCUGCCCAGUGCCAGAAGGUUAAAGAAGUUGGUUAGCAUUAGCGAAGCUGAUAACUGAAGCCCUGGUGAACGGCGGCCGUAACGAUAACGGUCCUAAGGUAGCGAAAUUCCUUGUCGGGUAAGUUCCGACCCGCACGAAAGGCGUAAUGAUUUGGAUACUGUCUCGGAGAGGGGCUCGGUGAAAUAGACUUGUCUGUGAAGAUGCGGACUACCUGCACCUGGACAGAAAGACCCUAUGAAGCUUUACUGUAACUUGAGAUUGAAAUUGGACUUUAUUUGCGCAGUAUAGGUGGGAGGCGUUGAGAAUAAUCUUGCGGGAUUGUUGGAGCCAUCAGUGAGAUACCACUCUUGUAAUGUUAGAUUUCUAACUUUGUAUCAUUAUCUGGUCAAAGAACAGUUUCAGGCGGGCAGUUUGACUGGGGCGGUCGCCUCCCAAAGGGUAACGGAGGCGCACAAAGGUUUCCUCUGAACGGGUAGAAAUCGUAUCUAGAGUGUAAAGGCAUAAGGAAGCUUGACUGUGAGACCUACAAGUCGAGCAGGGACGAAAGUCGGUCUUAGUGAUCUGACGGUGCUGAGUGGAAAGGCCGUCACUCAACGGAUAAAAGUUACUCUAGGAUAACAGGCUGAUCUCCCCCAAGAGUUCACAUCGACGGGGAGGUUUGGCACCUCGAUGUCGGCUCAUCGCAUCCUGGGGCGGUAGUCCGUCCCAAGGGUUGGGCUGUUCGCCCAUGAAAGCGGUACGCGAGCUGGGUUCAGAACGUCGUGAGACAGUUCGGUCCAUAUCCGGUGUAGGCGUUAGAAUAUUGAGAGGAGCCUUCUCUAGUACGAGAGGACCGAGAAGGACAUACCUCUGGUGUACCAGUUAUCGUGCCAACGGUAAACGCUGGGUAGCUAUGUAUGGAGUGGAUAACCGCUGAAAGCAUCUAAGUGGGAAGCCCACCUCAAGAUAAGUAUUCUCA
RNAcentral lists this ribosomal RNA (1242 nucleotides) under metagenome. Its description in RNAcentral is "bacterial LSU rRNA". It matches the Rfam family "Bacterial large subunit ribosomal RNA", at positions 1564 to 2816 of the family's 2925-position model. The record is from RNAcentral.